Molecule: ribosomal RNA, 1012 nt
Filed under: uncultured Burkholderia sp.
Lineage: Bacteria; Pseudomonadati; Pseudomonadota; Betaproteobacteria; Burkholderiales; Burkholderiaceae
Description: bacterial SSU rRNA
Rfam family: Bacterial small subunit ribosomal RNA
Source: RNAcentral
AGCAGUGGGGAAUUUUGGACAAUGGGCGAAAGCCUGAUCCAGCAAUGCCGCGUGUGUGAAGAAGGCCUUCGGGUUGUAAAGCACUUUUGUCCGGAAAGAAAUCCUUGGCUCUAAUACAGUCGGGGGAUGACGGUACCGGAAGAAUAAGCACCGGCUAACUACGUGCCAGCAGCCGCGGUAAUACGUAGGGUGCGAGCGUUAAUCGGAAUUACUGGGCGCAAAGCGUGCGCAGGCGGUUUGCUAAGACCGAUGUGAAAUCCCCGGGCUCAACCUGGGAACUGCAUUGGUGACUGGCAGGCUAGAGUAUGGCAGAGGGGGGUAGAACUCCACGUGUAGCAGUGAAAUGCGUAGAGAUGUGGAGGAAUACCGAUGGCGAAGGCAGCCCCCUGGGCCAAUACUGACGCUCAUGCACGAAAGCGUGGGGAGCAAACAGGAUUAGAUACCCUGGUAGUCCACGCCCUAAACGAUGUCAACUAGUUGUUGGGGAUUCAUUUCCUUAGUAACGUAGCUAACGCGUGAAGUUGACCGCCUGGGGAGUACGGUCGCAAGAUUAAAACUCAAAGGAAUUGACGGGGACCCGCACAAGCGGUGGAUGAUGUGGAUUAAUUCGAUGCAACGCGAAAAACCUUACCUACCCUUGACAUGGUCGGAAUCCCGCUGAGAGGUGGGAGUGCUCGAAAGAGAACCGGCGCACAGGUGCUGCAUGGCUGUCGUCAGCUCGUGUCGUGAGAUGUUGGGUUAAGUCCCGCAACGAGCGCAACCCUUAUCCUUAGUUGCUACGCAAGAGCACUCUAAGGAGACUGCCGGUGACAAACCGGAGGAAGGUGGGGAUGACGUCAAGUCCUCAUGGCCCUUAUGGGUAGGGCUUCACACGUCAUACAAUGGUCGGAACAGAGGGUUGCCAACCCGCGAGGGGGAGCUAAUCCCAGAAAACCGAUCGUAGUCCGGAUUGCACUCUGCAACUCGAGUGCAUGAAGCUGGAAUCGCUAGUAAUCGCGGAUCAGCAUGCCGC